GACUGCGGAAGGAUCAUU
This 18-nucleotide ribosomal RNA is filed under the name Waitea circinata. RNAcentral's name for it is "partial 18S ribosomal RNA". The record is from RNAcentral. Lineage: Eukaryota; Fungi; Basidiomycota; Agaricomycetes; Corticiales; Corticiaceae.